This 267-nucleotide long non-coding RNA is filed under the name Phoenix dactylifera (date palm). Its description in RNAcentral is "long non-coding RNA (PDAC_LNC007753)". Lineage: Eukaryota; Viridiplantae; Streptophyta; Magnoliopsida; Arecales; Arecaceae. The record is from RNAcentral.
UGAUGACGGGGGCAAACUCUUUGAACUAAAAUUUAGGUUUUUUGUGAUUUUUUAUACGAGUAUCAUAACCAAGGAGUUGAGUGAGUUCUGAUGUUUGUUGGACCAUUUUUGAUGGCCUUGGGUUGCAUUGGCUGUUGGAUCAUGAAUCGGUAUGCCUGUGAAGGUACGUGCAUGAUCUGGAAAUCCUCACCGUAAGUUCGGAUCCUCUCCAUUCCCCAGCCUCAGGCGUGUUAUUCCACCCUCGCGACAUGGCCCUUCUUUACACCU